GGUGAAACCGCAAAAGGCUCAUUAAAUCAGUUAUGGUUCCUUGGAUCUUAAACAGUUACUUGGAUAACUGUGGUAAUUCUAGAGCUAAUACAUGCAAACAAGUCCCGACCAGAGAUGGAAGGGACGCUUUUAUUAGAUCAAAACCGAUCGGCGUCCGGCUCCGGCCGGCGCCGUCUCUUUUGGUGACUCUGGAUAACUUUUAGCUGAUCGCACGGUCACAGUACCGGCGACGCAUCUUUCAAAUGUCUGACUUAUCAACUGUCGAUGGUAGGCUCUGCGCCUACCAUGGUUGUAACGGGUAACGGGGAAUCAGGGUUCGAUUCCGGAGAGGGAGCCUGAGAAACGGCUACCACAUCCAAGGAAGGCAGCAGGCGCGCAAAUUACCCACUCCCGGCACGGGGAGGUAGUGACGAAAAAUAACGAUACGGGACUCAUCCGAGGCCCCGUAAUCGGAAUGAGUACACUUUAAAUACUUUAACGAGUACCAAUUGGAGGGCAAGUCUGGUGCCAGCAGCCGCGGUAAUUCCAGCUCCAAUAGCGUAUAUUAAAGUUGUUGCGGUUAAAAAGCUCGUAGUUGGAUCUGUGUGCCACGCUGUCGGUUCGCCGCCCGUCGGUGUCAACUGGCAUGUCUGUGGGACGUCCUGCCGGUGGCGGUACGGGCUGUCGGCGCUGCGUAGGGGUUCGCCCCCGAAGCACGUCGGCGUGUCCCGGUCCGCCGAUUCAAUCCCGCCGCGGUGCUCUUCACUGAGUGUCGAGGUGGGCCGGCACGUUUACUUUGAACAAAUUAGAGUGCUCAAAUCAGGUCGUA
This 808-nucleotide ribosomal RNA is filed under the name Magicicada septendecula (seventeen-year cicada). Its description in RNAcentral is "SSU rRNA". It matches the Rfam family "Eukaryotic small subunit ribosomal RNA", at positions 80 to 789 of the family's 1831-position model. Lineage: Eukaryota; Metazoa; Arthropoda; Insecta; Hemiptera; Cicadidae. RNAcentral also lists the same sequence under 1 other name. The record is from RNAcentral.